AGGCUUUGAUCCUGGCUCAGGAUGAACGCUGGCGGUAUGCUUAACACAUGCAAGUCGAACGGUCUCUUCGGAGAUAGUGGCGGACGGGUGAGUAACGCGUGAGAAUCUGGCUCUAGGUCUGGGACAACAGAUGGAAACGUCUGCUAAUACCGGAUGUGCCGAGAGGUGAGAGGCUAGCUGCCUGGAGAUGAGCUCGCGUCAGAUUAGCUAGUAGGUGGGGUAAAGGCCUACCUAGGCGACGAUCUGUAGCUGGUCUGAGAGGACGAUCAGCCACACUGGGACUGAGACACGGCCCAGACUCCUACGGGAGGCAGCAGUGGGGAAUUUUCCGCAAUGGGCGAAAGCCUGACGGAGCAAUACCGCGUGAGGGAGGAAGGCUCUUGGGUUGUAAACCUCUUUUCUCAAGGAAUAAGAAUGAAGGUACUUGAGGAAUAAGCAUCGGCUACUCC
This 449-nucleotide ribosomal RNA is filed under the name uncultured cyanobacterium. Its description in RNAcentral is "bacterial SSU rRNA". It matches the Rfam family "Bacterial small subunit ribosomal RNA", at positions 8 to 503 of the family's 1533-position model. Lineage: Bacteria; Bacillati; Cyanobacteriota. The record is from RNAcentral.